Molecule: ribosomal RNA, 541 nt
Filed under: Stilodes fuscolineata
Lineage: Eukaryota; Metazoa; Arthropoda; Insecta; Coleoptera; Chrysomelidae
Description: partial 12S ribosomal RNA
Source: RNAcentral
UUCGUGCCAGCAGUUGCGGUCACACAAAUAAUAUAAUUUAAUUUUAUUAGUAUUUAAUUAAUUUAUAAUGAUUUAAUUUUAAAAUAAAGUUUAUAAGGUGAAAUUUUAAAUUUUUUUAAAAUUUUUUAUAUUUAAUGAGGUUGGAAAAUUUAAUUAAUAAACUAGGAUUAGAUACCCUAUUAUUUUAAAUGUAUAAAUAAAUACUAGAUUAGUAUUAGUUAUGUUCUUGAAAAUUAAAAAUUUUGGCGGUAUCUUAGUCUAUUCAGAGGAACCUGUUCUAUAAUUGAUAAUCCACGAUUUAAUUUACUUUUUUUUAGCUUGUAUAUCGUCGUAAUUUGAAUAUUUUAUAAGAAAUUAAAUAUUCAAAAUUUUAAAUUUAAAAGUAAAUCAGAUCAAGGUGCAGCGUAUGAAAAAGAAGAAAUGGGUUACAUUAAAAAUAUUUUGGGAUUAUUAUUUUUAAAAUAAUAUGAAUUUGGAUUUGAAAGUAAAUUUGAUUAAUUAGUCAAAUUGAUUUAAGCUCUAAGAUAUGUACACAUCGCCC